UCAAAUGUUCUUCGUGAACAUGGCGGACUGCGUCAGUAACACGUGGAUAACCUGCCCUUAGGAUUGGCAUAACACCGGGAAACUGGUGAUAAUACCGAAUAGACCAUUUAUGCUGGAAUGCUUUUUGGUUCAAAGGCUUCGGCUGCCUAAGGAUGGAUCUGCGGCCUAUCAGGUAGUAGUGGGUGUAAUGUACCUACUAGCCUACGACGGGUACGGGUUGUGAGAGCAAGAGCCCGGAGAUGGAUUCUGAGACAUGAAUCCAGGCCCUACGGGGCGCAGCAGGCGCGAAAACUUUACAAUGCGGGAAACCGCGAUAAGGGGACACUGAGUGCCAGCAUAUUAUGUUGGCUGUCCACAUGUAUAAAAACCAUGUGUUAGCAAGGGCCGGGCAAGACCGGUGCCAGCCGCCGCGGUAACACCGGCGGCCCGAGUGGUGAUCACUUUUAUUGGGUCUAAAGGGUCCGUAGCCGGUUUAAUCAGUCUUCUGGGAAAUCUGACAGCUCAACUGUUAGGCUUUCAGGGGAUACUGUUAGACUUGGGACCGGGAGAGGUAAGAGGUACUACAGGGGUAGGAGUGAAAUCUUGUAAUCCCUGUGGGAC
Molecule: ribosomal RNA, 600 nt
Filed under: uncultured archaeon
Lineage: Archaea
Description: bacterial SSU rRNA
Rfam family: Archaeal small subunit ribosomal RNA
Source: RNAcentral